Molecule: ribosomal RNA, 822 nt
Filed under: Salmonella enterica subsp. enterica serovar Weltevreden
Lineage: Bacteria; Pseudomonadati; Pseudomonadota; Gammaproteobacteria; Enterobacterales; Enterobacteriaceae
Description: partial 23S ribosomal RNA
Rfam family: Bacterial large subunit ribosomal RNA
Source: RNAcentral
GUCAGAGGCGAUGAAGGGCGUGCUAAUCUGCGAUAAGCGCCGGUAAGGUGAUAUGAACCGUUAUAACCGGCGAUACCCGAAUGGGGAAACCCAGUGUGACUCGUCACACUAUCAUUAACUGAAUCCAUAGGUUAAUGAGGCGAACCGGGGGAACUGAAACAUCUAAGUACCCCGAGGAAAAGAAAUCAACCGAGAUUCCCCCAGUAGCGGCGAGCGAACGGGGAGGAGCCCAGAGCCUGAAUCAGCAUGUGUGUUAGUGGAAGCGUCUGGAAAGGCGCGCGAUACAGGGUGACAGCCCCGUACACAAAAGCGCAUGUGCUGUGAGCUCGAUGAGUAGGGCGGGACACGUGGUAUCCUGUCUGAAUAUGGGGGGACCAUCCUCCAAGGCUAAAUACUCCUGACUGACCGAUAGUGAACCAGUACCGUGAGGGAAAGGCGAAAAGAACCCCGGCGAGGGGAGUGAAAAAGAACCUGAAACCGUGUACGUACAAGCAGUGGGAGCCCCACCACCAAAGCGUUUCGCUUUGUGUGGUGCACAAAGAAGCGUAACGACAGCACUGAAUGACGGUUAACGGAGCGCAAGCGACGUUCAACAUACAAAGUCAAGCAGUGGAGCGCUUUGGGGUGGGGUGACUGCGUACCUUUUGUAUAAUGGGUCAGCGACUUAUAUUCUGUAGCAAGGUUAACCGAAUAGGGGAGCCGGAGGGAAACCGAGUCUUAACCGGGCGUUAAGUUGCAGGGUAUAGACCCGAAACCCGGUGAUCUAGCCAUGGGCAGGUUGAAGGUUGGGUAACACUAACUGGAGGACCGAACCGACUAAUG